CAGAGAGUAGUUUAAUGUAAAAUGCCAGCUUUGGGAGUUGGCGAUAGAGGUUUAAGUCCUCUUUUUCUGA
RNAcentral lists this transfer RNA (70 nucleotides) under Buteo lagopus (rough-legged hawk). Its description in RNAcentral is "tRNA-Pro". It matches the Rfam family "tRNA". From Rfam's summary of the family: Transfer RNA (tRNA) molecules are approximately 80 nucleotides in length. Lineage: Eukaryota; Metazoa; Chordata; Aves; Accipitriformes; Accipitridae. The record is from RNAcentral.